RNAcentral lists this ribosomal RNA (480 nucleotides) under uncultured bacterium. Its description in RNAcentral is "partial 16S ribosomal RNA". It matches the Rfam family "Bacterial small subunit ribosomal RNA", at positions 28 to 506 of the family's 1533-position model. The record is from RNAcentral.
GAUGAACGCUGGCGGCGUGCUUAACACAUGCAAGUCGAACGAAGCAUUUAAGACAGAUUACUUCGGUUUGAGGUCUUUUAUGACUGAGUGGCGGACGGGUGAGUAACGCGUGGGUAACCUGCCUCAUACAGGGGGAUAGCAGCUGGAAACGGCUGGUAAUACCGCAUAAGCGCACAGUACCACAUGGUACAGUGUGAAAAACUCCGGUGGUAUGAGAUGGACCCGCGUCUGAUUAGCUUGUGGGCGGGGUAACGGCCCACCAAGGCGACGAUCAGUAGCCGCCCUGGGGGGGUGCCCGGCCCAUUUGGGACGGGGACACGGCCCAGACCCCUCCGGGGGGCGGCAGUGGGAAAUAUGGCACAAUGGAGGAAACUCUGGUGCGGCGCCGCCGCGGGGGUGAAGAAUUAGUUCCCUAUGUAAACCUCUUUCAGCAGGGAAGAUAGUGGCGGUACUUGACUAAGAAGCCCCGGCUAAAUCCGU